CUCUGAUAAGGGCAAACCGGAUGAAAGUCCGGGACGCAAAGUCAUCGGUCUAAAGGGCUUCGGCCCAAUGACGGCAGGACUGCCAGA
Molecule: non-coding RNA, 87 nt
Filed under: Duganella sp. CF458
Lineage: Bacteria; Pseudomonadati; Pseudomonadota; Betaproteobacteria; Burkholderiales; Oxalobacteraceae
Description: GEMM cis-regulatory element
Rfam family: c-di-GMP-I riboswitch aptamer
About the family: GEMM was predicted in a large-scale screen for bacterial structured RNA regulatory elements. Genes associated with GEMM are involved in a diverse array of functions, including chemotaxis regulation, signal transduction, secretion and chitin.
Source: RNAcentral